GGCAGAACUAGAACCAGGUUCCCGGCCGUUUCCGACCACACGGAUGGGGCGGACCCAUAUCCACACAACUUAAAGAUCUGCUGUCGAGUGAAUGGGGAAGUGGUCCAGAGCAGCAACACCAACCAGAUGGUAUUCAAGACAGAGGACCUGAUAGCCUGGGUGUCCCAGUGAGGUUUGUUACCUUUUACCCAGGGGAUGUCAUCCUGACUGGGACCCCCCCACCUCCACCCAGGUGUCGGUGUAUUCAGGAAACCUCCUGUCUUUCUCAAGGUCUCUGAAGGUCCAGACAGCACUGAUGGCGAGCUUUGGGUCCGCACACUCUGGAAAGAAGAGAGAAGUGAAGGCUCUAGGUAGGGAGAACAGAGAGCCACUGGGCACAGGCUUCUCUCCUCUUGUUUAAAGAAGCCCAGGGAGGGAUAGAGCUCUGACUGGACAGAAGACUGUACUCUGCAGCCUGCCUUCCUAGAGUUGGGUUGUCACUGUCCUGCAGGGGGCAGCAGCCACCAGCAAACACCACUGCCUGCAGGAGCCUGGGCUGACUGGUUGGGACUCACCGAAGAUCCCUUCUUCCUGGGCGGUGGCCUGCAGGAACUGGAACAGCUGCUCUGUGUAGCCCAACUCUGCAGAAGAGAGAAGACCUAGACCUGGCACCCAGCACAGACACAGCCUGCCUCGAGGACUGCAAGGGAACAAGGGCCUCACCAGUAUCGGGCAGCUGGCCCUGGCGGAGGAAGGCGGCAGCCUGUGCAAAGGCCUUGAGCAGCGGGCUGAGCAGGCGGCAGAGGAAAAGAAAGAAAUCUGGGCAGUGUGACUGCUGGCUGAGCUGGAGGGGACAGGCCGGGGUGAGUGCAGCUCCCCACCGCCUCCCUACCACCUCCCUCCAGGGGCAGCUUUUUGAAACACACCCUGAAGUACCGGCCGUCAGCCUCUCCGAAGUCAUCACUGUCACUAUCAGUAAAGUCCCCACUCGGUUUCCACA
This 979-nucleotide long non-coding RNA is filed under the name Homo sapiens (human). RNAcentral describes it as "HSALNT0035908". Lineage: Eukaryota; Metazoa; Chordata; Mammalia; Primates; Hominidae. The record is from RNAcentral.